AUGACAGCCGUGUUCAGGCUGGGAGUGGAUUGCACCGUCAAGGAUCGGCAGAAAAGGCCGUCCAAGAAGAUGGCUCUCAAACGUCUCAACCGCUACGGUGGGCGUGCCCUAUUCCAUGGCCUCCCCACCUGCUAUCCACUAUACAUCACCAGUGAGGAUGUAGGCAAAUCGAAUGAGAAAGUGGCAUGUGAGCUCUCCUCAGCUGAUGAACUGCCAUUGGCAGAGUUUAUGUUCAGGGAGGAUGAUCCAGGAGAUCAGAUGGGGGACUUUGCUUUCUUGCUUUGUUUGGCAAGAAAAGCUUCAGGAUGCCCCAACCAAAGCCGAGGGAGGAUCUUGACCUCUACGAGCUGCAAGAGGCAGGGCGGAGGGUUGCGAACGUCCAAAUUGAAUGCAAGGAUGCGGUGA
Molecule: ribosomal RNA, 405 nt
Filed under: Triticum aestivum (bread wheat)
Lineage: Eukaryota; Viridiplantae; Streptophyta; Magnoliopsida; Poales; Poaceae
Description: partial small subunit ribosomal RNA
Source: RNAcentral